AUGUGUAUAGGUGCUGUAUACAUCUGUGUGUCUGUGCCUAUUGGAAACACAUGCUGCUUGUUGGCCAUGGGAGCACAAAUUUGCAGCUGCCUUUUCCAUGCUGUUGGGCUGCUGGAUUCAACAACAGAAACCAGUCUUACCAAAGUGAAGAGCCAAAUACAAGUGAAUUGGGGAACUACAGAAAUGGCCUUAGGGGCUCUUUAUUCACUGAUCAAAACAAUGUGUACAGGGAGACAGGAGAGCAGUGUCAAAAAACAUGAAAUCACAGUCACUUCAGUUUUCCUUAUGACCUGA
RNAcentral lists this long non-coding RNA (294 nucleotides) under Cyanistes caeruleus (blue tit). Its description in RNAcentral is "lncRNA (ENSCCEG00000015086.1)". The record is from RNAcentral. Lineage: Eukaryota; Metazoa; Chordata; Aves; Passeriformes; Paridae.